Molecule: ribosomal RNA, 498 nt
Filed under: uncultured bacterium
Lineage: Bacteria
Description: bacterial SSU rRNA
Rfam family: Bacterial small subunit ribosomal RNA
Source: RNAcentral
GAUGAACGCUAGCUACAGGCUUAACACAUGCAAGUCGAGGGGCAGCAUCAUCAAAGCUUGCUUUGAUGGAUGGCGACCGGCGCACGGGUGAGUAACACGUAUCCAACCUGCCGACAACACUGGGAUAGCCUUUCGAAAGAAAGAUUAAUACCGGAUGGCAUAGUUUUCCCGCAUGGGAUAAUUAUUAAAGAAUUUCGGUUGUCGAUGGGGAUGCGUUCCAUUAGGCAGUUGGCGGGGUAACGGCCCACCAAACCUACGAUGGAUAGGGGUUCUGAGAGGAAGGUCCCCCACAUUGGAACUGAGACACGGUCCAAACUCCUACGGGAGGCAGCAGUGAGGAAUAUUGGUCAAAUGGACGAGAGUCUGAACCAGCCAAGUAGCGUGAAGGAUGACUGCCCUAUGGGUUGUAAACUUCUUUAUAGGGGAAUAAAGUGGAGGACGUGUCCUUUUUGUAUGUACCCUAUGAAUAAGCAUCGGCUAACUCCGUGCCAGCAGCCG